This 450-nucleotide ribosomal RNA is filed under the name uncultured bacterium. RNAcentral describes it as "bacterial SSU rRNA". It matches the Rfam family "Bacterial small subunit ribosomal RNA", at positions 354 to 796 of the family's 1533-position model. The record is from RNAcentral.
GUGGGGAAUUUUGGACAAUGGGCGCAAGCCUGAUCCAGCAAUGCCGCGUGCAGGAAGAAGGCCUUCGGGUUGUAAACUGCUUUUGUCAGGGAAGAAAUCUUCUGGGCUAAUACCCCGGGAGGAUGACGGUACCUGAAGAAUAAGCACCGGCUAACUACGUGCCAGCAGCCGCGGUAAUACGUAGGGUGCGAGCGUUAAUCGGAAUUACUGGGCGUAAAGCGUGCGCAGGCGGCUUUGCAAGACAGAUGUGAAAUCCCCGGGCUCAACCUGGGAACUGCAUUUGUGACUGCAAGGCUAGAGUACGGCAGAGGGGGAUGGAAUUCCGCGUGUAGCAGUGAAAUGCGUAGAUAUGCGGAGGAACACCAAUGGCGAAGGCAAUCCCCUGGGCCUGUACUGACGCUCAUGCACGAAAGCGUGGGGAGCAAACAGGAUUAGAUACCCGUGUAGUCC